CCCAGCAACGUCAACCUAAAGAAGGAAAGGCCAGUUUGCAUUUCCUUCACGCUCGAAGGUCACGGAGAUCUUAAAGUAAAACGUGCCAUGCAACAGGGGGAGAGGUUGGGUGAGGACGACACGUGAUGCAUCAUUAUCAAACAGGUGUAAUAACCGUAAGGUUUAAGAGAGGGGUCAGGGUAAGAAAAAAAUGUAUAAAAUGAGAGAGAAAAGGCAUUUGAAAUGAGUUGAGUGAGAAUCUCCGACACGGCAACAACUGCUGUGCACUUUUUGUCACCAACUGCAUUCUUCAUCGUACCGGUUCGCAACCAAAUGUAACUAUGGUGUCGUGCUGCUGUUGGUUGUCCUUGAUGGUUGGGUCGAAUACUGGUGUACCGAUGGCUCGUGGGUAUGGUGGAUACUAAACUGCAACGUCACCGUCUUACCAGACAACAUACGCAACAACCGGAUACUACACCACCAAAGCCCAGGAGUAUUACACCACAACUUAUGAUGUCCCGAACAUCUACACCGUAGGCUUAAGAAAUUCUACCUUGAGUUACAGCACCGGAGCACCACCAAGGCAGCGGAGUACUACACCACCAAGGCAGCGGAGUACUACACCACCAAGGCAGCGGAGUACUACACCACCAAGUUUGCUGCCCCAGCCCAUUAGACCGAGGCUCUAAGUACUACUCCGUUCCCAGCUACUACAUCGAGGCUCCAGUUUAUUCUUCCACCACGCGGUCAAAUACUACACCGAAGCGCCCAAGUCCUACUCUGCCCCUAAUUAUUACACAGCGGCUGCUCCUUCGUACUACGUUGGACCGAAAUACUGCACUGAGGCUCCAGCUUGCUGCACCUAGCUACACCUAGCUACACCUAGCUACACCUAGCUAAUACACCAAGCCCACAAGUAAUACAUCGACGAGGCCGCAAGUUGCAGUACAGCCCACGUUGCCCUUAGCUACCAUACCGAGGCUCCGCUCCCAAACCGACGCUUCCAAGUACUACACAACCAAGGCACCCGAGCUACUACUUAGGCUGCUCCGACCUACUGCACCGAAGCUGCGAAGUAUUCCACUGCCCCGAGUUACUACACCACCAAGGCACCUGAAUGUUACAUCACAACCUUCGCUUCUCCAGUUUACUACAGGGAGGCUCUUAAAUACCAGAGCCGAAAUUUCUGAUUUAUUUAUUUGUGUUUGUCGGUUGUUGUGAUUUGUCGGUCAUAUCUUAAUAGUUACUAGUAUUUGGGAAUAGUUGUUGAUCUUAAAUGAGAAAAUAAAUGUUUUAAUGGUAACCAUCUUCUGCGACAUCUCCUAAAACACCUUCAAGCCUUUUGACAUUGCGACUAUUUCAUGUGUUGGAGUCGUUUCUGUUGCUCCAAUCCGCUUUGCAUUCGGACAUAUUCUGGUGCUUGGACGAACUUCAUUUUCAGGGUUGGUGUAACAAAG
Molecule: long non-coding RNA, 1436 nt
Organism: Daphnia pulicaria
Lineage: Eukaryota; Metazoa; Arthropoda; Branchiopoda; Diplostraca; Daphniidae
Exons: 3
Source: RefSeq, a predicted model, not a curated record